This 210-nucleotide unclassified non-coding RNA is filed under the name Glossina palpalis palpalis. Its description in RNAcentral is "sequence contains ITS1". Lineage: Eukaryota; Metazoa; Arthropoda; Insecta; Diptera; Glossinidae. The record is from RNAcentral.
UAUUUAUUGAAAAACAUUUUCAAUAAAUUUUAUUUUAUAUAUACAUUUUAAAAUUAUGUUGCGAAUGUCUUAAGGUUCAUUUUGUUAAAAUUCAUCAUUAUUGAGCGGAAUUAAAACAGGAACCAAAUUAACUUUUACCGGGCGCCCAUUUAUUUUGGACUUCGGAUUAAGUACAACAUUUAUUUUAAAUGUACAAUAUAUAUAUAUAUA